UACGUAGGGUGCAAGCGUUGUCCGGAAUUAUUGGGCGUAAAGAGCUCGUAGGCGGUCUGUCGCGUCGGCUGUGAAAACCCGGGGCUCAACCCCGGGCCUGCAGUCGAUACGGGCAGACUAGAGUGCGGUAGGGGAGACUGGAAUUCCUGGUGUAGCGGUGAAAUGCGCAGAUAUCAGGAGGAACACCGAUGGCGAAGGCAGUUCUCUGGGCCGUAACUGACGCUGAGGAGCGAAAGCGUGGGGAGCGAACAGG
This 253-nucleotide ribosomal RNA is filed under the name uncultured bacterium. RNAcentral's name for it is "partial 16S ribosomal RNA". It matches the Rfam family "Bacterial small subunit ribosomal RNA", at positions 524 to 776 of the family's 1533-position model. The record is from RNAcentral.